Molecule: non-coding RNA, 35 nt
Submitted as: unclassified sequences
Source: Rfam
AGAGAGGAUGCCGAAAAUCUCAUAAAGAGUAGGCG